AAGGAAUAUUGGUCAAUGGAGGCAACUCUGAACCAGCCAUGCCGCGUGCAGGAUGACGGCCCUAUGGGUUGUAAACUGCUUUUGUACCAGAGAAAACCCCAGUACGUGUACUGGGUUGAUAGUAUGGUAAGAAUAAGCAUCGGCUAACUUCGUGCCAGCAGCCGCGGUAAGACGAAGGAUGCAAGCGUUAUCCGGAUUCAUUGGGUUUAAAGGGUGCGUAGGCGGACUUGUAAGUCAGUGGUGAAAUCUCUCAGCUUAACUGAGAAACUGCCAUUGAUACUGCAGGUCUAGAGUAUAGAUGACGUUGGCGGAAUAUGACAUGUAGUGGUGAAAUACUUAGAUAUGUCAUAGAACACCGAUUGCGAAGGCAGCUAACGAAACUAUAACUGACGCUGAGGCACGAAAGUGCGGGGAUCAAAC
RNAcentral lists this ribosomal RNA (420 nucleotides) under uncultured bacterium. Its description in RNAcentral is "bacterial SSU rRNA". It matches the Rfam family "Bacterial small subunit ribosomal RNA", at positions 356 to 773 of the family's 1533-position model. The record is from RNAcentral.